GUCGAGAAUCUUUCACAAUGGGGGAAACCCUGAUGGAGCGACGCCGCGUGGAGGAUAAGGUCUUCGGAUUGUAAACUCCUGUCAUGCGUGAACAAGGUUGCUUGGUUAAUACCUGGGCAAAUUGAUGGUAACGCAAGAGGAAGAGACGGCUAACUCUGUGCCAGCAGCCGCGGUAAUACAGAGGUCUCAAGCGUUGUUCGGAAUCACUGGGCGUAAAGGGUGCGUAGGUGGCGUGGCAAGUCAGAUGUGAAAGCCCGGGGCUCAACCUCUGAACUGCAUCCGAUACUGCCAUGCUAGAGUACUGGAGGGGUGACUAGAAUUCUCGGUGUAGCAGUGAAAUGCGUAGAUAUCGAGAGGAAUACCAAAGGCGUAGGCAGGUCACUGGACAGUUACUGACACUGAGGCACGAAGGCCAGGGGAGCGAACGGGAUUAGAUACCCUGGUAGUCC
This 449-nucleotide ribosomal RNA is filed under the name uncultured bacterium. RNAcentral's name for it is "partial 16S ribosomal RNA". It matches the Rfam family "Bacterial small subunit ribosomal RNA", at positions 354 to 796 of the family's 1533-position model. The record is from RNAcentral.